This 650-nucleotide long non-coding RNA is filed under the name Sus scrofa (pig). RNAcentral describes it as "lncRNA (ENSSSCG00025038157.1, ENSSSCG00040004345.1)". Lineage: Eukaryota; Metazoa; Chordata; Mammalia; Artiodactyla; Suidae. The record is from RNAcentral.
GAGCGACUUGGUCAAAACCAAUUAGUCAGUAAUGGGAUCUAGAUCUGAAACCAGAACUGACUCAAAAGCCAGAGUUCUUUGGGCUGAAACCCUCCUCCUCUCCCUUUCUUUCUCUUGCUCCCAAACCUUCUUUACCUGAGCGUUCGCACCCUCCCCGCUCUCGCUGUCUGAGCCUUGCCCCCUUUUCUGCUUUGGAAUCAAAAUAGGGUCAGCCAGAGAAGCUUCUGGAAAUGUAACCUUUCCCCCGCCUCCAAAGCCAGGGCACAGGCUUCCCUGCAACCGUGUAAGCGACGGACUCCUUGCUCCCUUGCGAAUCGUGGCAGGAGGAGAGCAGAGGCUCUACUAGGAUCUCCUAAAUGGGCACAACUUCGGCCUCUCUGAGCCCCACGGCCCCUCCAGAGGAUGCUCAAUGGACUCCCCCAGUGUGCCACCAGAGAGGACAUCCACGGUCCUCUGGUUCAGUUCUCAGGUCCUGUCCUUCUUGGGGGCCUAAGGCCUGAUCAAGACCUUCAAAGGCCUCCACACAAAAAAGACCGUCGUCUCUCUCUCCAAAUAUAAUUCCUGAUACUGAACAACCAGCACAAAAUGUAUAUACAUAAGCUGAAAUUAAAAGAGCUUUUUUGUUUUUAUUUUAAUUUUUUUUUUCUUUU